AGAGAGGUAUAAAAGGAGAGAGGUAGAGAGGUAUAAAAGGAGAGAGGUAGAGAGGUAGAAAAGGAGAGAGGUAGAAAAGGAGAGAGGUAGAAAAGGAGAGAGGUAGAAAAGGAGAGAGGUAGAAAAGGAGAGAGGUAGAAAAGGAGAGAGAGAGAAGUAGAAAAUGAGAGAGAGGGAGAGUGAGAGGUAGAAAAGGAGAGAGAGAGAGAGAGGUAGAAAAGGAGAGAGAGAGAGAGGUAGAAAAGGAGAGAGAGAGCGGUAGAAAAGGAGAGAGAGAAAGAUUUUUUAAAAAUCCUUCAUUUUGUAUAUUCCACUAAAAUUCUCAUCUGAGCUUGGACAGGCAUGAGAAAAAGUCCACUGCAGAAAUUGUCCCCGUGAACUUUUCAGCAAAAAAAUUAAGUGUAAGUGGUACAUGGACUGAACUCGACCACAGAGCUGAAUUUCUCAAUUGUGGUCAAGUGGACUUCUGACACGGAGUGAAUACAACCUUUACCAUUCUACUUACAUAUCCUGCAGAAUGAGGAGAGAGAGAGAGAGAGAGAGAGAGAUUGAAACUCAAAGAGAAGUGUACAUUGUGGUAGGUGCAACCAAUAGAGCAAUGCAGAGAUAAAACCUACAGUUGGGUUACCCUACUAGAAA
Long non-coding RNA from Oncorhynchus keta (chum salmon), 639 nucleotides. RefSeq lists it as uncharacterized. Lineage: Eukaryota; Metazoa; Chordata; Actinopteri; Salmoniformes; Salmonidae. The record is from RefSeq and is a predicted model, not a curated record. The transcript is spliced from 3 exons.